AAGAACGAGCGACGGACAAGUCCCGACGUCUUGCGAAAAGGAGAAGCUUUACAAGCAAUUCAGCGAGCACCUUGCGUGCACAAGAGAAAAGAGGGAGAGGGAAAAAACAAGGACUUUAGAGAGUUGAACGAACAGCUGCAAGUCCACAAAUAGCUGCUCACCGGGUGCCAGGCACGACAACAAGUUUCCGUCAAGGUAACGUGCGAACUUGCGAAAGGUUGUUCAACGCCCGACACUAUACCGAAGCCCCAUCCAGCCCUGUGCCACCCGGGGGGUUUAAAGGGGCUGAGAUGGCUGACAUUUUGGUGAACGGAGGCAGGUUGCAGAAAAUAGCCCGCGGCACACGAAAACGGAGCUGUUUCGGACUGUUUCGGGGCUGUUUUGCUCGGUUCGGUGAGCGGUUGCUUUGUAGCGCUGCAACUUAUUCGAACUUACAUUUUUACAAGCAAAAUGACUCAAAACCAAGGCAAAACAGGCUGCCAAGUAGAUGUACAUGUAGAUGAGAGCGACGAACGGUUCGUUGAACGGAGUUGUUGCGGGUGCGCGACGACCGUUCGUGACAUUCUCCCCCACUUAAACUAUCGACGCCCUCGUCGACGCUUGUUUGUAGUUAUUGAUGAUUGCUUCUUCAUGUUGUAGGGCGUCUUCAGGCUCCCAACUGGCUUCAGUUCGGGCCACUUCACCAAGUACUCUAUCUGCUCAGCUCCAUUGGGUAGCUUUAUCUUGCGGUCCGCCAUAAUGGGUUCAACACGCUUCUCGUAGGAGGCUGUGAUGGAAGGUAGCCGAGUUGGAACAUUUCGGGAAGCAUCUUGUGGAUCCGAGUGAUAGGCUUUUAGGUUGCUAGCGUGAAGAAAGUUGUGAAUUUUGAACCACACCGGCAGUUGCAACUUGUAAGAGACGUUGCCUACCCUGCUGAUAAUUGGGAAGGGCCCUUCAUACUUGCGCACUAAUCCUUUGUGGACUUUGUUCCUAAAGAAUUGGAGUGAUGCUGGUUGGAGCUUUACCAACACCAAAUCGCCAACUUUGAACUCUUGCGGUCGCCUUCCCAAGUCUGCCCACUUCUUCAUCCUUUUUGUCGCCUUCUCCAAAUAAGCCCGCGCAAUAUCUGCAUUUCAGUGCCACUCCUUUGCGAAGUGGUAGGCUGACGGACUACUCCCAGUAUACCCAAUUGCCAUGGUGUGCGGAGUCGACGAUUGUUGUCCUGUAAUGAUCUUACACUUGUCCGAUUGGGGGGGUGGAUGGAAGCCGUCAAAGCAUUGAGUGCCUGUUUUUGUGGGCACUCCCUCACCAUAUGCGGUCCUUUGCACAAGAAGCAUCCUCCAGGUUUUGAGGCAUUGCCUUUCGGGUUUGGCCCUUUGUGGGAACUCUUCUUCUUUUAUUCACCCCCGAGCUCCUUCCCUCGAGAAUGUUUUGGAGGGCGAUUGCCUGAAGAUUGUUUUCUUCUCCCUGGGUCUUCGAAGGAAACAAAGUCGGUGAGCCUUUCUGCAGCAGCAAUUGCCCCGACCACAUCGGUAACAUUCCUUCGAUUUAGUUCCUGUUGAGCCCAUGGCUUCAAACCAUCGAGGAAGCUGAAUAACUUGUCCUUCUCGGGCAUGUCCUGUAUGUCCAGCAUUAGUGUAGAAAAUUGUUUCACAUAGUCUCGAAUGGUGGUACUCUGGCGGAGUUGUCUCAACUUCCUUCUUGCGACGAACUCUGUGUUCUCCGGUAGGAACUGAGUUCUUAACUCCCGCUUCAAGUCCUCCUAUGUGUCAACCCGACACCGACCUUGUUGGAUCUCCUCCCAACGGGUUCGUCACCAAAGUUUCACAUCUCCGUUCAGAUACAUUGUUGCUAUAGAAACUUUGGUAUUUUCAGAAUCGGGCCUCGUAGCUCGAAAGUAUUGUUCCAUGUCGAACAGAAAUUUCUCGAGCUCUUUGGCAUCUCUGGCCCCUCCAUAUCCAUGAGGCUCGGGUGCCCUCAAAUUUUAUGGUGGUGCAACGUGGGUGUUGCUUCCUCCCGCAUUUAGUGCUCUAGUGAGCAUAGUCACCCUUGAAGUGAGUUCCGCCACAACUUCCUGCAGGUGUUGCACGGAGUCUUUGGUGUCAUCUGACAGUCGGUCGACUAGGGCCUCGACCUUGUCGAUCCUGGACUCCGCUUCCUCUUGUGAGCUCUCUACCCCGACAAGCCUUUGUUGGCCAUGGUAGAGUUCCUCCACGCUCGCUUCCAGAACAUCCAGGCGGGUUUCCGCCGUUGUGAGUCUCUCCUUGUGACUCUUUUUCCCAGUUAGCGCUCCAGAUUGCGCUUCCUCCGCUCGCGGAGAAUAGCCAACUUCUCGCUCAUCAUGUUCGCUGCCGCGCUCCUCUUGAGCGGCUCCAACAGCAUGAGAGCGAGUGUGCACAUGCAGCCCACCUGCGGCUGCUUAGGGCAAGGGUCCGGCUUGCCCCGUCUUGCUUGAUUCGCCACGAUGCUUUGCCAUGGCGAAGUUCCUUCGCUGCUCGCUCGAAGUGCUUGCCCGCUCUGAUACCACAAUGUCACGGCCUUAGCUGAAAGGCCGUGAGGCACCCUUGCGGCCAAGACGCGAACUUACCUUGCGUUGCCUAAGUCGCGAGGCACCCUUGCGGCAAAGACGCGAACUUAGCUUCCAUUGCCUAAGUCGCGCUUCGCCAUUGCGAUAUUGCUCCGCAAAGAUCAGCCCACUUGCAACCUCUCGCAGGUCCCGAAGGACCUGUAAAAGAGAAAGUUGAUUAGUUCGAAAGAACGAGCGAUGGACAAGUCCCGAUGUCUCGCGAAAAGGGGAAGCUUUACAAGCAAUUCAGCGAGCACCUUGCGUGCACAAGAGAAAAGAGGGAGAGGGGGAAAACAAGGACUUUAGAGGGUUGAACGAACAGCUGCAAGUCCACAAACAGCUGCUCACCGGGUGCCUGGCGCGACAACAAGUUCUCGUCAAGGUAACGUGCGAACUUGCGAAAGGUUGUUCAACGCCCGACAC
RNAcentral lists this long non-coding RNA (2968 nucleotides) under Musa acuminata (dwarf banana). RNAcentral's name for it is "long non-coding RNA (MACU_LNC003959)". Lineage: Eukaryota; Viridiplantae; Streptophyta; Magnoliopsida; Zingiberales; Musaceae. The record is from RNAcentral.